AAAAAUGCAAUUAAGAAGAGAAAGAUAUUCCGAUUUGAUUUUAGAGAGCUAAUUCUUGGUGAAAAUUAGCAUCAAAAGAAUAUGUAAUACUAGCUUCUUAGGCAGUUUAUCCCAAAAUGAAAAUUAGUAGGAUAAGACGUUUUCCACCGUUAUAUGGAUACUAGAUAUUGGUCUAGGAAAGAGGCAGAUUACUGUGAAUUAGGGUGGUAACACGAAAGGUUUAUCCUUCGUCCCUAUA
RNAcentral lists this non-coding RNA (238 nucleotides) under Tissierella creatinophila. RNAcentral describes it as "T-box sequence". It matches the Rfam family "T-box leader". From Rfam's summary of the family: Uncharged tRNA acts as the effector for transcription antitermination of genes in the T-box leader family. Lineage: Bacteria; Bacillati; Bacillota; Tissierellia; Tissierellales; Tissierellaceae. The record is from RNAcentral.